GUCUACGGCCAUGCCACCCUCAACGUGCCCGAUCUUGUCUGAUCUCAGAAGCUAAGCAGGGUCGGGCCUGGUUAGUACUUGGAUGGGAGACCACUUAGGAAUACCAGGUGCUGUAGGAG
RNAcentral lists this ribosomal RNA (119 nucleotides) under Pteropus alecto (black flying fox). Lineage: Eukaryota; Metazoa; Chordata; Mammalia; Chiroptera; Pteropodidae. The record is from RNAcentral. RNAcentral also lists the same sequence under 1 other name.